Molecule: long non-coding RNA, 11271 nt
Organism: Panthera uncia (snow leopard)
Lineage: Eukaryota; Metazoa; Chordata; Mammalia; Carnivora; Felidae
Exons: 2
Source: RefSeq, a predicted model, not a curated record
UGUAGGUCAUUUUACCUUUCAGGCUGCUUUGCCUUGGCUAAAAUAAAUAUUCAGCUAUAAAUGGCAUUUUGGUUCAAGUUGUAUUAUUACAGGAAAAGUUGCAUUUUUAAAAUUGUUCAGUGAAUUUAUUUAAUCUGUCAUUCUAACAUAUUGCUGUUUUCUUAAGUAGAAAGCAGAGUUCCUAUGGUGAGAGCAGAGGUGCCAUAAUAUUUAUAGUAUGUUAGACUCAUUUAUAAACUAUUAUACUAGCUAGAAUUUGCAGAAUAUUUAAUCUUGUAGGUUACAAUUUUUUUCCUCUGGCUUUUAAUAUAUUCAUUUAGCCAUUUUGAUUUUCUUUAUUCUUUGAAGAAAAACUCAGAGAAUGCUAUUUUUUUUCUAGAAGAUUAGUAAUAACUACUGUUAUAGGAUUCUUUUUUUUUUUUUUUUUUUUUUUUCCGAACUGAAGAAUGCGUGUGCCUUACUGUCUUAUCUGGAGGUAAUUUUGUGAAAAACCAAUUAACACAUCAAGUUUUUAAUGGAACAUAAAACUUAAAACUGCUCAAAACUGAGAGAGGCAAAGAUUGGUGACACAGCAUUAGUUUCUCCUGGAAGAGUUAAUAUAUCCAGGCAAACUUUAGUAAACACAUUGGUGUUGAGAUUUCUGUACUGUGUAAGAGGAGGUGAGGGAGAAGAGGGAUGAUUAGUAGAAGAUGAUGGUUUCUUGAACUGGGGACAGUCACUUUUUAUAAAUCAGUUAUCAUGGUCUGGAGUUUCGAAGCUGGAAAGGAGGAGUGAAGAUUAUGGGCUCUGGAUACCCCACAGGUUGGGUGGUGAGGAUAGGCUCCUUUGGUAGACAUUAUCGAGAGCUCCAUUUGAGGAAAGGAAUUUCAGAAUAGCUUCUAGAAUUUGAGAGAAUCGCAGCUGUCUUUUCCCGUGGCUUCAUUUGUUAGAAAUUGUCAUAAAGAAGCCCAGUUUCUGUUGUUGACAGUAUGGAGUCUUGGUGUUUUGCACAUCCUCCAUUCUGGGAAAUAAGUCCCAAACCAGCCCUACUCCAUAAUAUCCCAGCAUAUUCCAGUGAGCAGUAUACUACUUGUCAGGAGAACUGGGUUUUGCCUGUGACACUUACAACUUUGUAUCCUGGCCUAGGGCCUGCAUUGUGUCACCUGUACAGUAGGGGAGGCACUAACCAGCCCAGAAUGGAUUUAAGCUGAUUCUUUCUGACCAGAUCUUGAGGUUUGGAGCCUGGCCUGGUGCAGCCUGGAGCUCAUUUCCAUCCGCAGGGACCUUUGAGAAGGGAGGGGCAGAGGCCUGAUGGAGCCCAGUCUUUUCUGUUCCAGGCUUCCCUGUCAUCUUCCAUAUUAUCAGGCUAGGGCAUCUUGCCCUAGAGCCUCCUGAGGAUUCACUGUCCGCUUGUUUAUCUUUCCGUGAGGAUCUUAGCAGAUCUUGAGUCAUAUUUGAGUUUUUAAUGAUGACAUUAGCAGACAAAAAUGCAGUGUUAGUACAGUUUUUUAAGUUCUUAUGCUUCAGUGUUCAGUAGAUCCCCGGUUAUUAUCUGUCGUUCAUUUACUCAACAAACACUGAAGGAUAAACAUUUGAUUAAGACACAGACCUUGUCUUCAAGAAGGGUGUUAGAGGGAAGGAGGAGCAUAGAUGAGACCCGGGGAGUUUUGGGGUUGGUGUUCCCCUUUGGGAGUCCUCUGCCUCUUGGCUCUCUGGCUUCUUGCAAGGAAGAAGGAAGGCUGUGACUAGUGCAGAUCAAAUUUGCAGGAAGGUGCUGAGACUCAAGUCAGCUUUUAGGGAAGUAGAAAUAUACCAGGACCUCCACAUCUGUUACUCUGCUUCCGUGACACCCAGGAAACUUGAAGCUUGAUGUACAUGCUCGUGGCAGCAUGGUGGUAGACUGUUUCCUCAUGAAGCUGUUGGGUGAGGGUGGAGGAAACUCACAUCAGUGAUAAUGGUGCAGUGGGAAUCGUGGGUUAGGGCUCAAAGGAGUGGGCUAGAGAGGUGGGAGGGAAGGCUUUUUGUUUUUAUGGUAAUGUAGCUGUUAACCUUACAGAGAGUCCUAAAAUUAAGAUUUUUUUAGCUAUAUACAUGUGAUUUACUUUGAGGCUAACUAGGGAGAAUAGGGCAUUUAUGAGAUUAAUUUCUUUGGGCAGCUAGAAUGUGUCUCCUAGGUGCAAAGACCCCAAACAUGCAGGGAUUUGGAUCUUGAUUAUGUCCUUACUUAACUCCACAAGUAGUGUGAAGUUUAAUAACAGUAUCAUAUUAGUAUUUUAAACUUAUAUUAAAUAAUAUGGUAGUAUAUUACAGUAGUUUGUUUUCAACUAUCUAGUUGAUAGUGCAAGAACUGUAAAGCCUCUCUUUUCUUCAGAACUGAAAAUGAAACUAAUUUUUGUGAAGCUCCAGAUUAAAAAUAAUCUGAGUUGAUUUUAAGAACUGUGCAUGAAAAGAAAAUUAAGUUUUUUAUGCAAAAUCGUUAGGAUCUUUAGGCUCCAUGGAACACAGAUUUGCAUGGCGCUGUUACCUGGGUUUUUACUGAUUGUAAAAGAUACUGAGUACUUAACAUGGGGGUUUUUGGAAGCAAGGUGACAUCCUGCUCAUUGCAGUUAGGCUAAUGAUAGCAUAAAUAGUAAGGUACCGGUCACUAUUUCAAGUGCAAAGAAACAUCUGUUCAUAAAGUACUAAAAAUGGUUCUUAUAUGAAGGUGCUGCAUUUGGUUUGGGCUUGGUUUUUGUUUGGUUUUAUCUUAAUUAAUUAUUUUGCUUCCUGCCAUUAAGGAUAUGUGUUGAUCAUGUUAAUAAUACCCUGGGAAAAGAAAUGAGCAAGUAUUUGAUUGACAGAUAAAUAUGGAUGCACAGGUAUAUUGUAGAUGCUUUCACAUCUGUGUUUCCAUGUAUAUCUGAAUAGAUAGAUUUUUAAUCUCACAUAUGCACCAAAUUAGUUGAGCACGUUUUUUGAGUCCUUACAUGUGCCAACCACUGUCCUCAGUGAUUUGCGGAACCAGGAUGAGUAAGGCAGAUCCUAUCCUAAGGUGUUGACACACUAAUAGGGGAGAGAAGAUUGCAAAAUAAGCUUUAUGCACAUUUAAAUAGAAGAUUGUAUCAUUGGAGAGUUAUAAGUAAAGCCUUAAAGAGUCCUCAGGAAGGCGAGUACUCCUAGUCUAGGGAAUCAGAAAAAGCUUAAUGAAGGAGAUGGCAUUUUGAGCUGAAAGUAGACUUGAAUUGUUGUAGAUAGAGGGUCCUGCACAGGUGAAGGCUCCUGGAGAGGAAAUCAUGGGCUGUACCUGGGGAGCAGUGAGUAGUUAAGACUGGUGAAGUGUAGAGAGAGUUAGGGAUAUAUGGAUCUGGGUCACGCGGGAUGGUGUGGAGGAGGUGGACAAGGGCCAGGUCGUGGAGUAUUGACUUUAUUCUUUGUUUUGGGUUUUUGACCUGGAAGGUGCCCUGAUUAGAGUUUUGCUGCAGGAAUAUGGUGACUGUGUGGUUGGAGUCUAGAGGCUGGGACAUGGAUGGGCAUGGGGGCAGAGAGCUGUGGUCUUAGAUAUUACUUAGGAGACUUUUGCCAUAAUUUAGACAGGAAGUAAUGAGGAGGGCAUAAAGUAAAAAGGUGAUGUGUAAAAGAAGUAUUUUGGGAUAAACUGGAUGGGUAUUCGGACCUGAUUAGAUUAGGUUAUUUAUUUAUUCAAUAAAUAUUUACCAAUAAUCUUCUUCUGCCCCACACUAAGGUGAGCUUAGUGUUCCCUGGCUGGGUGAGAUUGAGAAGCUGGAGGUAUUAAAUAUAGCUUUAGGUUUCAGCCCUGGGAGACCAGGAAAGUGGUGAUGCAGAAAUCUGAGAACACCCUCCUUUUUACGUGGGUCUUGAGGGGAGUGUAAAUUUAUCUGGUCUCCUGCUUUCAGAUAAACCAUUGCAGACAGAUGAGAAUCUCAUCUCGCAUUAUAAACUACCACCAGAGAAAAGGAUUAGCAGUGAGCUGUUAGUGGCCUUCAUUUUUUAGAGUGUUUAGGGUAGAGCAGACAGCUUUAAAAACCAUCUAUCUAGCUAGUCCUCUUUAAAAUACUCCGUCAUGAUCAGUGUGUGUUUAACCGUGGGGCCCCAACCAGCUGCCUUCUCUGCUAUGGUCUGCAAGCCUGACAUUCUGACUUCCUAUCAGUUUUUUGGAACGAACUUUCCUGUCUCCCCUUUUCAGGGAAAAAUUAAAGAAGCCUUUAAAAAUGGUAGGAUCAUAAUUAUUUAGAGUCAAGAUAGUCAGGUAAUUAAUUUUACCACUCUUUGUGCAGAGUUCUAAAGUUUACUUGUUUUAGGUAAGAGAAAAUGUGGCUGCUUUGUACAAGAAGGCCCCAAUUCAGUUUUGGAGCCUUGACCAAGAGAUUUGUGAAGGUCAGAAGGAAGCCCAUUGGUGAAGGCAUAUGAUAAAAGAAAAAGGAGGAGGAUACAAGGAGAAUUUACCCUAAAUGGAAGAAGAUCUGCAGGUCUCAGUGGGGGGGCUUCAGAAUAGAGAAACACAGUAGGAAGCAAAAAUGUGAAGGUGUUGAACCUCCGUUUCUUACUGUAAGGUAGUGCAGCUCAACGUGAUACCCACAGACAGGGAUUUGCCUGUGAAUCGUUUAUAGCUGACCUGUGAUGAACUAUAUACAGAGGAGAAUAAGGGUGUAGAAACUUUAACAAUUUGACAGGCCAACUUUAUUCAAUCUAAUAAAAAAUUGGGACUUUUAUUUUGUGUAUCUUUUUUUUUCCUUUUUUAAAAUUUCAUUUAGUAGUUACUAUUAUUCUUUUGCAUUUUAUAAAAGUAUUGGUCCCAGAUAGGUUGGGGGAGGAAGGGCACCUUCACUGCGGGGAGUUUGAGAAGGCAUGUUGUAGGUUGUGGAGAUGGUAGUUGGGGAGGUUUUACUCCAAGUGCUUGGUUUGGGCAGUGGGAACGAUGCGUGCAUAGGCCAGGAGCAGGUGGGAUCUCAUCUUAGCGCCUGAAGAAAAGGGGCAUGACUGAGACAGAGUCUUGUGACUCUGGGGAGUUACGGGUUGGAGGAUGGUGUUUGGACACAGGGUGCCCACACUCGAGUGAGGCCCAGUCCCAGUGUUUAGUAGGAAUGUGCAUAUCGCCCUGCUGGGGACUUUGAGGCUGGUCAGGGGUUUCCUGCAGCCUGAGUAGGGGCUGUGGGACCAUCACCAGUAGCGUCGUCUUUGGCUCACAGGACACGAAUAGGGUUAUGUCAUCUUCUGUGCUCUGAGCUUGCUUUUCAUACUUUAUUGGUCUCUGUUCUUUCCCACCUCGACUCUGCCUAGACAGACGUAUUGCACAAACCUUAAUGUUGAUUUUUCCCUGUUUACUGAACCUUUCUUUAAAAUUCUUCUAACAUGUGGGCAUCUGGGUGGUUCAGUCAGUUAAGCAUCGGACUUCAGCUCAGGUCGUGAUCUCAUAGUUCGUGGGUUCGAGCCCUGUGUCAGGCUCUGUGCUGACAGCUCAGAGCCUGGAGCUGCUUCAGAUUCUGUCUCCUUCUCUCUGCCCCUCCCCCAUUCACACUCUGCUCUCUUUCAGUAAAAUAAACAUUAAAAAAAAAAUUAAAAUUCUUCUAACAUGAAGAGUGAUUCCUUCUGUUGAUAUUUUUCCUGGACCCCUUGUAUUCAAAGCCAUGCACCUUUCCAUAGGCCUUUUCUUAACAGUGUAACUUAUCUGACAGUGGCUGUUUUUCCUUUCCUGUGAAAGGUGGUGUCAUGAUGAAUGCCCUACACAUAUUAACACCAGCAAAGCAAAUUCUGGGAUCCUGGGAUGGCAAUUUUAUAAUUUUUUCUAUCUUUUCCGCUUUGCUGGAAGCGACAGGAUAUUAAACCACCAAACUGGCGUGGUCCUCGGCUGCCUGCCAAUGGAAUAUUUGGGGAAAGAAUGGACCAGCUUUUGUUUCUCUUGCCUUCUGUGUAGCCUUGGGGUGGAUUCUGAGGGGAUGUUCCCCCCCGCCCCCCCACAGAACUAACCCAUUUGGUAUUGAGAAAGCAGGAAAGCGAGUUUUCCUGUUACGAGCAGUGAACAAAAAGCAAGCAGCGGAUGGAGAUAUCCUGUUGGAGAAGGCUUGGGGGAGAGAAUGCAGACAAAUGCACCUCAUUCUUUCUGCGUCUUUAAGGAAUCUGAGGGGAUGGGAAGGAAAUCAGUCACUGCGGCCAAGUCAAAUGCUUUUCUUUUUAUUUAUGGUGCUUAAUAAGAUGGUUAUAAGUUUAUGCUUUGUGAUUUAAAAACUUGUCAGACACAGAGAUCUAUAGCACAUGACAGAUUAGAAAAAUGAAACAAUUAUUCUGUUUCUCAUGAGGUCAUUCUAAGUUUGCCUGCAAGGGGUCAAUGAACUGAAACUCUAUCCAAGUUAUAUUUAUUUUUAGGUUUAAAAAUCACAUAAAAAAGGCAAAUUCUUAGGGCAAGUGGGUGGCUCAGUCGAUUGAGUGUCCAACUCUUGAUGUUGGUUUAAGUCAUAAACCUAGGGUUGUGGGAUCGAGCCCUGUGUUGGGCUCUAUGUUGAACGUUGAGCAUGCUUAGGAUACUCUCUCUCUCUCUCUCUCUUUCUUUCUCUGUCUCCCCCCCACCCCUGCCUCUUUCCCUCACUCACGUGCUCUUUCCCUCUCUCUCUCUCUGUCUCUCUCAAAACAAAAACAAAAAAACUCCAAUUCUUCCAAAUUAGAUUUAUAGGAUGGUUUGUUAUAACCUCCUAGGGAAUCACUUGUUGGUUCUUUUUAAAAAGAACUAACUUUUGCUUCUCUUAUUACAGGAACAGUUCAUGUUUAUUAUAGGAAAAUUAGAAAACACCUAUGGGCAACUGAAUGGUACAGGAAUGGGCUGGAAAGACUUAGACGUGGAAAAUUAGAGCAGUGUGGCGAAGGAGAGAAAACCAGGGUUUUCUGGCAGCUGUGGGAGUGGAGACAGGGUCAGGGAAGAUCCUCCUGAAAACUCUCCAUGGAAGCUGUCUUGCCUGCAUGCCACAUGUUCACUGGUGACUUUUUACCUUUGAGGUUGGCCUUCCAUUCUGCCAUGGGUUUUAGACCUGAUGAUUUCCAAGUUUGUUUGGAGCUAGAAAACUGUGUAGUGGUCAGUUGAGAAGCUGGUCAACUCAGGGUAUUUCAUAUCUUGUCAGUCAAGGAGAAGGAGUGCUGGGCAAGAAGGAAGUCUGAAGAUAGAUUUAUAUUAGUGAGUGGUGUGUGUGUGUGUGUGUGUGUGUUUGCGUGUGUGUGUGUGUGUUUGCGUGUGUGAGGGAGGGAGAGAGGAUAUCUUUGAGAGACUUGGUUGUAAGAGAGAUAAAGAAAAUAUAAAAGAGAAGAUACAGGAGAAUACAACAAUUUUUUGAGGGGGAAGAGGAAAUGUACAUUGGCUUCUGCCCUUUUGCAUUAUCUUCUUGACCUUCCCAUUCCCUCCAUGUUUUGCCAUAUUGACAAAUGCUUAGGUGUUUUGUGGGAUGACACUUCUCCCUUUAUCUCAGUAAACAUUUAUAGAGCAGCUAUCAGUAAGUCAUACUUUCAGUCCAUUUUAGUUUAUAAAGAUAGUGUGAGAAAUCCUUAUAAGGCAUAGGAUUAAAUUGUCUUGAGAAAUCCUUAUAAGGCAUGGGAUUAAAUUGUUUUGAGAAAUCUUUAUAAGGCAUGGGAUUAAAUUGUCUUGGGCUGGGGUGCCUGGGUGGCUCAGUCAGUUAAGCAGCCGACUUGAUUUCUGCUCAGGUCAUGGUCUCAUGGUCUCAUGGUUCAUGGGAUUGAGCUGCAUGUAGGGCUCUGUGCUGACAGGGUGGAGUCUGCUUGGUGUUCUCUCUCUGUCUCAUAAUAAAUAAACAUUUAAACAGAUAAGUUGUCUUGGGCUUUUUUUUUUUAAUCUGUCUACUAGCUAUUUUAUUAUAGGUAAGGCAGGAUUAACAUGUAAAAUGGAAGGUGUAGAAGCUUGGACUAGACAACACGUUGCUUUUGGUAGAUUCUGUAAUAAAUAGUCAUUGACUACUGUUACAUAGCAGCCACUGGGCUAGAAGCUGGGAAAGAAUUAUAAAUUGGACAGAUAUGGUGCUUGAUCUCACAGACCUUCCUUGAUCAGGAGAUUAACAGGUAAUCCGUUCCAACAUAGUGGGAUAGGAAUUCUGAAAAGAAACAUGUGGGAUGUUCUGUGAUGACAUAGGAAAGAUGCCUGUUCUGGACUAGAAGGAGUGACAUCUAGGCUGAGACCUGAAUGAUAAGAAGAAAGGGGCCAGAUAAAGGGAGAUAUUUUAUUCUAACCUUAGGGAACAGUGUGUGCAAAGGCCUGGAGGCAAGAAAAAGCAUGGAAUCAUCCAGGAGCUAAAAGCUGGUCAAUAUGACCAAAGCCUAUAGUCCCAGAUGAGGGUGAUAAGAGAGAGCUCUGAAGAGGUAAGUUGGAGCCCAACACAAAGGGCCGUCUAGGGCAUGUGUGAACUUAGGAAUUCAACAAAGAUUCAGGACAUAAGAUUAAUAUAGAAAAAUCAAUUGUGUUUGUCUACACUAGCAGUGAAUAAACCAAAAAUUAAAUUAAGAAAGCAAUUCCAUUUUACAAUAGCAUGAAAAAGAAUAAAAUACUUGGAACUGAAUUUAACAAAAAAAUUGCAAGAUUUGUCUACCAAAAAAAUUGUUAAAAGAAAGAAUACUAAAUAAAUGGAAGGACAUCCAGUGUUCAUAGAUUGGAAGACUUAUAUUGUUAAGAUGUCCAGUUCACAAAUCUAUCUACAGAUUUAAAACAAUUUCUGUUAAAAUUCUAGCAUCCUUUUUUGUGGGUAUUGAUAAGCUGAUCCUAAAAUUCAUAUGGAAAUGCAAGGAACCCAGAAUAGUGAAAAUAAUUUUGAAAAAAGAACAAAGUUGGAAGACUUACACUUGCUGCUUUUAAAACUUACUAUAAAGCUACAGUAAUCAAAAUAGAGUGAUUCUGGCAUAGGAUAGACAUAUAUUUCAAUGGACUAGAAUUGAGAGUCCAGAAAUAAAUUGAUACAUUUAUAGUACAUUGAUUUUCGACAAGAGUGCCAAGACCAUUCAACGGAGAUAGAGCAGUGUUUUCAACAUACAGUGCUGGGACAACUGCAUAUCUGUUGCAAAAGAAUGAAGUUGGGUCCUAAUGUCAUGCCAUAUGUAAAAACUAACUUAUGAUUGAUCAUAGACUUAAAUGUAAGAUCUAAAACUAUAAAACUCUUUGAAAAAGAACAUAGGUUAUAAAUCUUCAUGACUUUGGAUUAGGCAUUAAUUUCUUAGGUAUGACACUAAAAGCACAAGCAACAAAAGAAAAAAAAUAGAUAAAUUGAACAUUAUGAAAAUGAAAACUUUUGUGUUUUAAAGGACACAAUGAAGAAAGAGAAAAGGUAAUACACCAAUAAGAGAAAAGAUAUGUAAGUUGUUUAUCUGAUAAGGGACUUACAUCUAGAUGUAUAAAGAACUCUUAAGCUUAAUUAAAAUAGAACUUAAAAAAUGAACAAAGAAUCUACACAAACAUUUCUUUAAAGGAAAUAUACAAAUGGCUCUGCUCAACUGUAGAAAUCUGUUCGGGGAAAUGUAACUCAUAACCAUGGUGAGGGGCACUUGGGUGGCUCAGUCAGUUGGGCUUCUGACUUUGGCUCAGAUCAUGAUCUCGCUGUUCAUGAGUCUGAGCCCUCCAUCGGGCUCUCUGCUAGUCAGUACAGAGCCCACUUCAGAUCCUGUGUCACCCCUCUCUCUGCCCCUUCCCUGUUGUGUUCUCUUUCUAUCUCUCUCAAAAUAAACUUUAAAAAAAAAAAAAAAAACAAAAACACAAACCCACACCACAGUGAGAUACCAGUUUACACAUACUAGGAUGGCUGUAACAUAAAGACAGGCAAUAAGUCUUCUCUGUUAUUGUCAUAUUGGUGAGGAUGUGGAGAGAUUUGAGCCUCAUGCAUUGCUGGUGGGAAUGUAAAAUGGCACAGCCACUUUGGAAAAGUGUUUGCACUUUUUUGUUUGAAGACCUUGUUGUCAGGUCUUCAAAAAGCUAAAUAUAGAGUCACUCUAUGACCCAGCUAUUCCACUUGUAGGCAUAUAGCUAAGAGAAUUGAGAACAUAUGUCCACACAAAAAUUUUUACGUGGAUGUAUUACUCAGGAUUCUCCAGAGAAGCAGAAGCAACGGGAGAUUUAUUAUAAGGAAUUGUCCCCCACAAUUAUGGAGGCUGAAAAGUCUCACAUUUUACCAUUUGUAGACUGGAGACCCAGGAACACCAGUGGUAUAAUCCAGUCCAAGUCUGAAGGCUUGAGAACCGGCAACACCAAGGGCAGAGGAAGAUUGAUGUCCCAGCUUAAGAAACGAGGCAGGAAGGACCAAAUUCUUCCUUCCUUGGCCUUUUUGUCUUAUUCAGAUUGUCAACGAAUUGGACGAUGCACACCCAGACUGGAGAGGGUGAACUGCUUUCUUGAGUCCACUGAUUCAAAUUCUAAUUUUAUCCCCAAACACUCUCACAGACAUACCCAGACAUAAUAUUUAGCUAAAUAUCUGGGCAUCUGGUGGUCCAGUCAAUCUGAUACAUAAAAUUAGAUAUCACAAUGGAGGUUCAUAGUGGCAUUAUGAAUAAUUGCCCAAAAAUAGAGAACCCGAAUGUCCAUAACAGAUGAAUAGAUAAAAUGUAUAUUCACACAGAGGAAUAUUAUUUAGCUAUAAAAAGAGGUGACGUACUGAUAUAUCUCCUCAAUAUGGAUGAAGCUUGAAAACAUGCUAAGUGGAGGAAGCCAGACACAAAAGGUCACAUAUUGCUUGAUUCCAUUUUUUUUGGAAUGUCCAGAAUAGGCAAAUCCACAGGAACAGAAACUAGAUUAGUGGUUACCAGGUCCUGGCGAAGGGAGAGUGUCUGCUAAUGGGUGCAGGGUAUCUUUUUGGAACGGUGAAUAUUAGAUUGUUAUGAUGGUUGCACAACCCUGGGGAUAUAUUAGCAUCACUGAAUUAUACACUUUUUUUUUUAAGUUUACUUUUGAGAAAGAGAGUGCAAGUAGAGGAGGGGCAGAGAGAGAGGGAAAGAGAGAAUCCCAAGCAGGCUCUGUGAAGUCAGGGCAGGAUCCCAUGAUCCGUGAGACCAUAACCUGAGCCGAAGUCAAGAGGUGGCUGGUUAACCAGCUGAGCCACGCAGGCACCCCGCUGAAUUGUAUACUUCAAAGCAAUUUUGUGGUAUGUGUAUUACAUUAAAAAGUGAAUGUUAUCCUAAGGUUGUUUGGGAGUCCUUGAAGGAUUUUAAACAGGGUGGUGGACACAGUUGGAUCUGUGUUUUUGGAAAAUUAGUCUGGCUGUGGCGAAAGUGGUUUAAAAGGGACAAGACCAGAGGCAGGGAGCACAUCAAGAGGCUGUUUGAGUA